Molecule: ribosomal RNA, 395 nt
Filed under: uncultured bacterium
Lineage: Bacteria
Description: bacterial SSU rRNA
Rfam family: Bacterial small subunit ribosomal RNA
Source: RNAcentral
GUGUCAGCAGCCGCGGUAAUACGGAGGGGGCAAGCGUUGUUCGGAAUUACUGGGCGUAAAGGGCGUGUAGGCGGUUGGGUAAGUCAGUUGUGAAAGCCCCGAGCUCAACUUGGGAAUUGCAACUGAAACUGCCCGGCUAGAGUUCAGGAGAGGAGAGCGGAACUCCCAGUGUAGCGGUGAAAUGCGUAGAUAUUGGGAGGAACACCGGUGGCGAAGGCGGCUCUCUGGACUGAAACUGACGCUGAGGCGCGAAAGCUAGGGGAGCAAACGGGAUUAGAUACCCCGGUAGUCCUAGCUGUAAACGAUGGACACUGGGUGUUGGAGGUAUUGAGUCCUCCAGUGCCGAAGUUAACACAUUAAGUGUCCCGCCUGGGGAGUACGGUCGCAAGACUGAA